GGCGGAACGCUGCGCUCAGGGCUGGAACACAACCAUGGGCUUUACCCAUCCACUGCACAGCAGGCUAAAACCUUGGGUGCGGGCAAGGGCUUGCGUCAGGCGUUUCUGGCCCCUGCUGAACAAAGAAUGAGGGGAGGAAAAUAGAUGAGAUCCUGAUCUGCUUAAAUCCUCAUUUGGAAUCAAAUGUGUGGUGACAAGGGAGAGAGCUGAGCUUUGUCUCCAUUUUACAUAACUCUGCAGAAUUUAUCACACCUUGGCUUCUAGGUGGUUGCAGUAAUGGCAAGAGAUUGUCCCAAGGCAUAUUUGAAAUGAAGACAUCUGAAAGUUGAAGAUUCACCUGCUGUUUUUCAGUACAGACAGAGGAUGCAGCUCUGUGACCGUCCUUACCAGAUCUGUGCACUGCUGGAUCUGUUGACUUUACACAAAAAGCCAGCAGAUACAGCUGCAGCAGGCUGCCUCUUUUGGUGCAUUUUGAUAAUUACAGUAUCAUCCUAUAAAUAGCAUUUUCCUGACUUGUCACCUGAAGUCCCGUGCUGCCCUGAGUCCCAGCCCUACCCCUUCCCUUUGUGGGCCGUCUUUGUUACACCCAGGCUCUGUUAUUAAUGACCUCUGUGGGAUGAAUUUCUCUUUUCCGUGCUUAGUCACCGACAUCUGUUUCCCUGGAACAAUGCAGCACGUGAUGGUGCUGACAUCAUAGCUUUGCACGACUGCCCCCAUAGUCACUCCUCAAACCGCAACAGCAGCAGAGUACCAAAGAUGGGAAAGUUAUUUCUGCUGCAGGCAGUGAUGGAAAGGUUACCGUGUAGCUAAAGGUUCGGCAAGGGCACUGUCUGCAUCACUUGCUUCUCUCUUGGGUUCCAAAAAUGCACAUUUCCAUCCUGUGCAGAGGCAGCAUCUGCGAGGAGAGCCAGGAUGAUGCACAGAGGGGAAAAUCUGCAGUACAGGGAGGACCUGAGGACUUUCCUUUGAGCAAGAAAAGACAAUGCUGGGAUUAUCCCUGUGGAUCAUAGCCUUUGCCUGCUGAGGAAGAUACAUUGAGAUGUGCCAUCUAACAUAUAAGAGUGCUAAUUUCAUAGGGAGUUACAGAGCUUUAACAGGUGCCAUGGGAACAGGCAGUUCUGUUCCUGCCAACACCAGGACUCUCCUGUCUGCAGAGUGAGCUGGUGCACAAAGCUAAACCAGCAAAAGGUAGUGCUGGAAAAGGCAGCAAGCAGAAGGUUUAACUCCAUGAAAACCAGCUUGGAGAGGGAUAAAAACAAGGGUUAGCACUGAAUGGAGAAGAGGGGAAGGGGCAGAAGUGCCCCUUUAAGGAAGGGCUGUUCAAUUUAGCAGUGCAAAACUGCAGUUUAAAAAGCCUUGUCCUUGUAAUGCCAAGCAGAAAUCCCCCUGCAUUGGAACACUGGAGGAAAAGCAUCAAAAGUCAGGAGGAGAUUCGGGAGAUGACAAUCCCUCUUUAGGACAUUCCUGUGUUAUCUAAGGCUGUUACCAGCAAAAAUUUUGGUCACACGCUCUUCUAUUCUCAUGGAUUUCUCAUGUGAGGGUCAUGAGCAAGCAGAUUUGUUUCCUACCCAGUUUCUCCAAGUUUUAUGUAAACAGGCAGUACUGUUUCUCCUUUGGCUUGAGGUUGUCCGAAGACCACCAGACUUAAUAUUAUUGCUGCUGGCUAGCCCAGUAGCGUCCACCUUCCUGCAGUUCUGGUUGUUGGGAGCCACACAAGCUGGCUGAAAUCCUUGUAGUUUAUUAAUCAAGGUAACUAAGGAAAUACAGUUACUGUUUGGAAGUGAGAAGGUCAUGAGGCAGAGGAAGAUGAAAUGAAAGUUGAAACAAAGUCUCAUAUACCAUUAAUGUCUGCUUGUUGAAAACAGUUGACAAGGAAUAACUCUUUGCUGUCUCUUCCAAAUUAAAAAAAAAAAAGUAAUCAAAUGAAACUAAUGGAGUCCAAGUCAAAAGGUACAAAAAGAGGUGGUUCCUCACCAACUGAUAGUAGACCUCUAGCAUAACUUGCUGCAGGAUGCUCAGGAUACAAGAAGUUUAUAUGGCCUCACCCUAGAGAUAGUUUUAAACCAGGGAGGAGGAGGAAACAGGGAAAAAAGGAGUGAGAGAGGGAAAAUAGAGACUCCAGUUCAGAGACUGUCUAGCACUGCUGAAGACCCUCCACAAAACCUGCUGUUCCACAGAUCCACAGUGAAGCUGCUGUAAGCCUUGGAGCCAGAGACUCAGCACUUUGCCCAGUCCUACAAGACUUCUUGAAUGAAAGCAGAAGUGUAGCUGGCAUCCUCUCCUGCUGCUGGCAUUGAAUGGCAAGGAGGGGAAGCAACUGGCACAGGCUAUUCUGGACAGCAGAAAGCUGGAACACAAAGAGCCUGGCAGAAUUUCUCCUGUCACAUUGAGUUACAAGCCCUUGGAAUAGGAUAAAGGCUCCUUUUUCUUCCCUGGGGACUGUUCCUUUUGAAUGGUGACUCCCACCCCUCCUCAUCUGUUGCUGGGAGGGUGUCUCCUGGAAGCUCAGAAACCUUUUCUUCAGGCUAGGCUGAAUUCAUGUUACAAGGCUGGCCUGAUCAUCCUCUGCUGCUCUGGACUGUGCUGCUGAGAGGAAGGAAAAUGAACUCCCUGUCUGGUGAAAAAUGCUCUCCAUGACCCUAACUCUGCUGUCUGAAAUGGAAAUAUGGACAUAAAGCACUGGCUCUGGCAGGCAGCUUCAUGGAAGAGGAGUGACUCGGGCAAAAUACUGAUGGGCUCUGCACUCAAAGUAUAACACACUGACCAAACUCUACACACAGGGAAACUUGAAGUGUUCCUGACAGCUGCACUGGGCUUCAAUCCCAUUUUGGGUUGGGUUGUUGGUUUUUUGGGGUUUUUUUCUCCCAAAGCUAGAACAAAAAAGGAAGAAAAACAAAACAAAGAAGAGCAUUAAAAAAUUCAUUCCCUAUUUAAAGAAAAUACAAUUUUAAGGGUUUUUUUUUGUUUUGUUUUACCAAAUCCUUUUCACAUUCAAUGAAGAAAAGGGUGGUUUUAUGCUUAAACUGACAUCCCUAAUUUCAAAGGUAAAAGUAGCCAUGGCUAUGUAUUAGCCAGGUGCUUCAUGAUCUAGUAGACAGGCUCCACACUCUAGUAGACAGGUAGGUACACAGAUGAAAAUUCAGGCAAGAUCUGCCUUGGGUGGCUAUGAAGCACCAGCCACAAGAUGGUAUCACAGAAGCUUCUGAAAGAGGGAAUAAAGACCCUCACCAAAUGAUUAUGCUCUGCUUUUGUUAAGCAUGUUUUUAACUUCAGCAGCUAAAUAACAUACUGGCUCACAGCUGCUUUAUUUAAAGUUUCAUUGAUCUUACUCUGUUGGGAGCUUAUAAUGAAUACCAGAUCCCAUAUCCCUUAUAUUUUCUAUGGAGACAGGCAGAAGGAAAACACUUAAAACAAGGCAAGCUUUCUUUGAGAAGCAGGGGAGGGUGGGAAUCCCCCUCAAGCAGUAAUAUUCCUCUGCUCCCUCACCAGACUAAAAAGGAGACACAUAAAAGUUAUUUAUAACUUUUUUUUUCUUGGUUAUGGAACACAAUAAAAUAAUAAAGAUCUUUUGGGCUUUAAAAAACAAAAAAAUCAUACUUUGUAAUUUUGAAAAUUUCAAAGGAAACUGCAUCAAGUGCCCAGAAGGGCAUCGUGUUUGGAGAAUUUAUUAACUCAGUCAUUAAGCUGGGUGGCAAAUCAUCUCCCCUAUGCCCUGAGAGAUCAUGUUUGGGUUGCAGUGUCACCCCUGACACUGCCGGAGAGAGACUGCAAAGAGUGAUUUCUCUUGCCCCAUUUACAUCCCUUCCUCACCCCCUAGGCUUCAGGUUAGCAAUAAGAUGCUGCUGGUGGGUUUGUGCUCCUGGGGGAAGGGCCCAAAUGCAACGGUGAUGGGCAUCCUCAGAAACUACAAAAAGUAACCCUAGGUGUAAAGUGAAGAUGACUUCAUACACAUGCAGAACAGAGGGAGAAGGAAAAAAAAAAAAACAUUUAAUCUCUCUGAAUCUCUCAUAAUUAUCUUUGCUAAUUGCAUGAGGAAGCUACAAGGCAUUAAUCCUUGCUUCUCAACUCACUGGGACCAGGACCAGCCCAUUAAUUGAUAAACUGACCAAAACAGCAACACACUUUGUUCUCUAUUGCAGUAAUAAGUGAGAAAACCCUAUUCCAGUGCCUCAGAUGAACAGCACCACAUGCCCCUGCACCCA
This is a long non-coding RNA of Passer domesticus (house sparrow), 4202 nucleotides long. RefSeq lists it as uncharacterized. NCBI's taxonomy places the organism in Eukaryota, Metazoa, Chordata, Aves, Passeriformes, Passeridae. The transcript has 4 exons. The record is from RefSeq and is a predicted model, not a curated record.